This 253-nucleotide ribosomal RNA is filed under the name uncultured bacterium. Its description in RNAcentral is "partial 16S ribosomal RNA". It matches the Rfam family "Bacterial small subunit ribosomal RNA", at positions 524 to 776 of the family's 1533-position model. The record is from RNAcentral.
UACGGAGGGUGCAAGCGUUAUCCGGAUUCACUGGGUUUAAAGGGUGCGUAGGUGGGUUUGUAAGUCAGUGGUGAAAUCUCCAAGCUUAACUUGGAAACUGCCGUUGAUACUAUAAAUCUUGAAUGUUGUGGAGGUGAGCGGAAUAUGUCGUGUAGCGGUGAAAUGCUUAGAUAUGACGUAGAACACCAAUUGCGAAGGCAGCUCACUACACAAAGAUUGACACUGAGGCACGAAAGCGUGGGGAUCAAACAGG